Molecule: ribosomal RNA, 431 nt
Filed under: uncultured bacterium
Lineage: Bacteria
Description: partial 16S ribosomal RNA
Rfam family: Bacterial small subunit ribosomal RNA
Source: RNAcentral
AACGAACGCUGGCGGCAGGCUUAACACAUGCAAGUCGAACGCCCCGCAAGGGGAGUGGCGCACGGGUGAGUAACGCGUGGAUAUCUGCCUUUUGGUUCGGAAUAACCCCGGGAAACUGGGGCUAAUACCGGAUGGUUCCUACGGGAUAAAGAUUUAUCGCCAAAAGAUGAGUCCGCGUACGAUUAGCUAGUUGGUGAGGUAAUGGCUCACCAAGGCGACGAUCGUUAGCUGGUCUGAGAGGACGAUCAGCCACACUGGGACUGAGACACGGCCCAGACUCCUACGGGAGGCAGCAGUGGGGAAUAUUGGACAAUGGGGGCAACCCUGAUCCAGCCAUGCCGCGUGAGUGCUGAAGGCCUUCGGGUUGUAAAGCUCUUUUGGCGGGGACGAUGAUGACGGUACCCGCAGAAUAAGCCCCGGCUAACUUCGUG